This 207-nucleotide ribosomal RNA is filed under the name uncultured bacterium. RNAcentral's name for it is "partial 16S ribosomal RNA". It matches the Rfam family "Bacterial small subunit ribosomal RNA", at positions 568 to 774 of the family's 1533-position model. The record is from RNAcentral.
CGCGUAGGCGGCUAUUUAAGUCUGGAGUGAAAGUCCUGCUUUUAAGGUGGGAAUUGCUUUGGAAACUGGAUGGCUUGAGUGCAGGAGAGGUUAUCGGAAUUCCCGGUGUAGCGGUGAAAUGCGUAGAGGUCGGGAGGAACACCAGUGGCGAAGGCGGGUAACUGGACUGCAACUGACGCUGAUGCGCGAAAGUGUGGGGAGCAAACA